AAGCUUAGGUUAAACUAAACCAGGGGCCUUCAAAGCCCCAAACAUGAGCACACACCCUCCUAGCCUCU
Molecule: transfer RNA, 68 nt
Filed under: Cyrtodactylus malayanus
Lineage: Eukaryota; Metazoa; Chordata; Lepidosauria; Squamata; Gekkonidae
Description: tRNA-Trp
Source: RNAcentral